UCCCCAGUGGCGCAAUUGGUUAGCGCGCGGUACCUAUAAUGCCGAGGUUGUGAUUUCGAUCCUCACCUGGGGAA
Molecule: transfer RNA, 74 nt
Filed under: Trichonephila clavipes
Lineage: Eukaryota; Metazoa; Arthropoda; Arachnida; Araneae; Nephilidae
Description: tRNA-Ile
Source: RNAcentral